Molecule: ribosomal RNA, 892 nt
Filed under: uncultured bacterium
Lineage: Bacteria
Description: bacterial SSU rRNA
Rfam family: Bacterial small subunit ribosomal RNA
Source: RNAcentral
UACCUGCAGUCGAGGGGUAGAGGCUUUCGGGCCUUGAGACCGGCGCACGGGUGCGUAACGCGUAUGCAAUCUGCCUUGUACAAAGGGAUAGCCCAGAGAAAUUUGGAUUAAUACCUUAUAGUAUAUUGAUGUGGCAUCACAUUAUUAUUAAAGAUUUAUCGGUACAAGAUGAGCAUGCGUCCCAUUAGCUAGUUGGUGUGGUAACGGCAUACCAAGGCUAUGAUGGGUAGGGGUCCUGAGAGGGAGAUCCCCCACACUGGUACUGAGACACGGACCAGACUCCUACGGGAGGCAGCAGUGAGGAAUAUUGGACAAUGGGCGCAAGCCUGAUCCAGCCAUGCCGCGUGCAGGAUGAAGCAUCUAUGGUGUGUAAACUGCUUUUAUACGGGAAGAAACCCUGGCUCGUGAGCCAGAUUGACGGUACCGUAGGAAUAAGGAUCGGCUAACUCCGUGCCAGCAGCCGCGGUAAUACGGAGGAUCCAAGCGUUAUCCGGAAUCAUUGGGUUUAAAGGGUCCGUAGGCGGUUUUAUAAGUCAGUGGUGAAAUCCGGUAGCUCAACUAUCGAACGGCCAUUGAUACUGUAGAACUUGAAUUAUUGUGAAGUAACUAGAAUAUGUAGUGUAGCGGUGAAAUGCUUAGAUAUUACAUGGAAUACCAAUUGCGAAGGCAGGUUACUAACAAUCGAUUGACGCUGAUGGACGAAAGCGUGGGGAGCGAACAGGAUUAGAUACCCUGGUAGUCCACGCCGUANACGAUGGAUACUAGCUGUUCGGCAGCAAUGCUGAGUGGCUAAGCGAAAGUGAUAAGUAUCCCACCUGGGGAGUACGAACGCAAGUUUGAAACUCAAAGGAAUUGACGGGGGCCCGCACAAGCGGUGGAGCAUGUGGUUUAA